UCUUAUCUCAAUAAGUGUUGUGAAUAUGGCACAAGCAACAUAGGAAGCCAACCUAAAUGCUUUACGAUGUGUGGUGAAUAUAUCUAUUCUCAGUUUACAAUAGAUUUAACUUUGCUUUUCAUCUUCUUAGGAGAAUAACAAUCAAUUCCACCGCAGCAAUAUCUCCAUCAAGAUAUAAUCCAAGUUCUCCACAUUAGAGUGACCAUGAUGUCCAGUUUAAUUCUUACCAAUUUCAACAAUAAGUGCAUAAAAUAGCCAAUGAAGCUGAAAUUGCCAUUGACAAUGAAAAGAAUCACAAAGAGUCAAAAAAAUAAAACUGAAUGGAAAUGAUUUUUUUUUCUUAACUGUUUACAUAUUUAAUAAAUGGUUGAAUGCGCAACACUAAAUUUUCUGUAACAAUCAUGAAAGAGAUCAUUAAUAAUGAAUAUCUGACUCAGAGGAAUUACUUUCUACGAGAUAUUCACUGGAUAACUCAUGAUAUUGAUUUUACAAUUGAGUUUCUUGCAGUCAUUGGAUUAAUUCACAAUUCAGUGAAGUGUUGUAAUCAGUAAUGGAUUUCUACAUUCAUGAUAAAUGCUCAGUUGGAAAAGCUUGGCAAUGUAUAACAAGCAAAUGUUAUUAAAACAUUGGGUAAAAUUCUGUCUUCUCUGUGUCUCCUAGCUGACUGCCUUGCCUUAUUGAAUUGAUUUACUGGUGAAAGGCAAUUAACUACAAACAGUGAUGAGGAUUUAACAUUACUAUCUACAGUAAUGAUUUUUUUUAAGAGGGGGUGGGUAAAAAUCAUUUUGUUUUAGUUUUUGGAUUUUACCAAAAAAAGAAAAAAAAUCCCCCCUAAAUUGUUCACAAUUUGUCUCCUGGAUGACCUUAGGUCACUAGAUAUAGAUGGUUACAUUAUUCGGAAAAAUGGAAGGAUGUGACAAGGAAGUUGGGUAUUUAUGACUCUACUUAAUCUCAUCCAUGAUAGAAAAGUAUGGUGUAGCCAUUGGACUUCAUGGCCAAGAGUAAACUUAUAAAAUUUGUAAAUUGUAAAUACAACAUUCAUCAUCAUAUUUUUAAAACCACUGUAAAAAGAACUCAUAAACAUACUAUUUGUUUGUAAUGUCCUAAGUUGUUCCAUCUAUGUAUGAUGUAUAAUUAUUGUAAUAAAGAGUCCUCUCUUAGCUACAUCUAUUGGCUGCAGCUUGUUUGUGAGUUCUAUCUGUUAUUAUCUAAUGUUUUGUUGUUAUUGCACUGUUUGUUGUACCUGUUGAAAUUUGAACUGCUGUUAAUCUGUGAACUGUCAUUUUCACCCUGCAGGGCAGAAAAUUGUGAAAUUUUUAUUGGAAAACUCUACUAGUGGACUUUUUGUGACUUGAAC
Molecule: long non-coding RNA, 1357 nt
Organism: Octopus sinensis (East Asian common octopus)
Lineage: Eukaryota; Metazoa; Mollusca; Cephalopoda; Octopoda; Octopodidae
Exons: 3
Source: RefSeq, a predicted model, not a curated record